GACGAACGCUGGCGGCGUGCUUAACACAUGCAAGUCGAACGGAAAGGCCCUGCUUUUGUGGGGUGCUCGAGUGGCGAACGGGUGAGUAACACGUGAGUAACCGGCCCUUGACUUUGGGAUAACUUCAGGAAACUGGGGCUAAUACAGGAUAGGAGCUGCUGCUGCAGGGUGGGGGGUGGAAAGUCUCGGCGGGUGGGGAUGGACGGGCGGCUGAUGAGCUUGUUGGUGGGGUAGUUGCUGACCAAGCCUGUGACGGGUAGCCGGCCUGGGAGGGGGAACGGGCCCAAUGCGCCUGCGGUAGGGCCCAGACUCGUACGGGCGGCAACAGUGGGAAGUAUUGCCCAGUGGGCGGACGCCUGAUACAGAAACGCCGCGUGCGGAAUGACGGCCUUCGGGUUGUGAACAGCUUUCGCCUGUGACGCAGCGGGAGUGACGGUAAUGAGUAAAGAAGCACCGGCUAACUACGUG
This 468-nucleotide ribosomal RNA is filed under the name uncultured bacterium. RNAcentral's name for it is "partial 16S ribosomal RNA". It matches the Rfam family "Bacterial small subunit ribosomal RNA", at positions 28 to 507 of the family's 1533-position model. The record is from RNAcentral.